Molecule: transfer RNA, 83 nt
Filed under: Candidatus Levyibacteriota bacterium
Lineage: Bacteria; Candidatus Levyibacteriota
Description: tRNA-Leu
Rfam family: tRNA
About the family: Transfer RNA (tRNA) molecules are approximately 80 nucleotides in length. Their secondary structure includes four short double-helical elements and three loops (D, anti-codon, and T loops). Further hydrogen bonds mediate the characteristic L-shaped molecular structure. tRNAs have two regions of fundamental functional importance: the anti-codon, which is responsible for specific mRNA codon recognition, and the 3' end, to which the tRNAs corresponding amino acid is attached (by aminoacyl-tRNA synthetases). tRNAs cope with the degeneracy of the genetic code in two manners: having more than one tRNA (with a specific anti-codon) for a particular amino acid; and 'wobble' base-pairing, i.e. permitting non-standard base-pairing at the 3rd anti-codon position.
Source: RNAcentral
GCGGAUGUGGUGAAAUGGUAUACACGCAUGGUUUAGGACCAUGUGCCGUAAAAAGCGUGGAGGUUCAAGUCCUCUCAUCCGCA